AUUUAAAGCGCAGUCCUUAACUCCAGCCUUUACCAGAUUGUUAUCAAUCGUGGUAUUGCAUUGUGGCUCCUACCAAACUAGUCUGAGAGGAAGCGAUCAGAGCUCACAGUCCCAACAGCACAUAGGAGCUGCUUGAAACGCCAGGAGCUGCUAGUUCUUACUCCGGUGUACAGACAAAGGGGUAAAAGACAGAGGGCUGUCUGUUUCCUGAUAUGUGAGGCAGCACAUGUCCAACAAGAGGUGGGUCCAACUGAAAUGACUCCUGAAAUAUCCAUCAGCAUAAAUUACAUCUUUGGUAGUGCUGAUUCCCUCUUUUGGACUAAUGAAGUUAUAUGCCCCUGCACAACUACCAAGACGCCUGCUAAUGUCUUUUAAUUUGCAAAGAUAAUUGCAACACGGUUCCACUUAAAAAUCUAUACAUGCCAGGAAAUGAAGCUAAAACCGACCAAUCCACAUGGGUAAUUGUUUCUCCCUUAGAUUCUCUAAUGUAUAGCUGCAUAUCAAGGGUCUAAUGACACCAAUCAAAUGAUAUAUGCACUAAUGAAGCAGUCAGGGUUGACAUGGCAUGUGCAAAGGUUAUAAAAUAAGGAUUUGUGCAACUACUUAUGAAUACUAAUCUGCUUAUCAUUGUUUCUAUCUAGCACCUUGUUUGGCAAAUGCCAACAUUUGCAUUUGGUGCCUAAAGGUGCUAGAAAACCAGGCUAGGCUAUGCCCCAACAUUUGCAAGAAGCCAAUGUAACACAGACUGAGAACAGAACAUGUUGUGCGUGUUGUUAUCUUAAGGUUAGAGGCACACAGAUGCACGCAUGCUCACUCAUAUGCAUUCAGGGCGAGUAAGAGAAACAAUAGAGGAGCAGGCUGUAGUAGACUUGGUGGCAAGGAAAGUCUAGACAUAAUGAGUUUAAUAACGUACAAUGUUCAUUAAAACAUAGCUCACAGCCUCUCCGGAGGUGUCACUCCUGUCAGAUUAGUGGUGCUGAGAGAUGGCUGGUGCUGAGUGGAAGCAGCCCAUAUGGUCUGUCUGCUUGACAACACUGUGACCCACAACAGAUGUGCUGUUUUUCCUCUCCCCUGAUGUUAGGAUCAGCUUCUUUGUCACACCUGUGCUUUCUCCCAAGCCACACAAUAACAUCAACAAAUGAGACUGCUGGAUUUGCCCUCUGAGUCAACAAAGGAUUCUGGGCAGCCACAAAAUACAUUUUGACUUUAUUAGGAAGACUGGCUUCCUUUUGGGCAUUAUUAGAACAGUGGUAACCUAAAGACAAAGAUUAAUUAUUCCUGUGUGAUGUUUGCAUGCUAAUGUCCAGGAUGUGACUUUGGACUGGUUUUUAAAACCAGGAUGUGGAUGUCACUAUUUGUGGAUGUCACUAUCCCCGUCUCCUAGAAAUUAGAUCCAUAGAAUAACUAAUUUGUUAUGCUGAAUAAUUCACUGGUAAUUUAUUUUCUAGUCAAAAAGCA
Micropterus salmoides (largemouth bass) is the source of this 1458-nucleotide long non-coding RNA. RefSeq lists it as uncharacterized. The transcript is spliced from 3 exons. The record is from RefSeq and is a predicted model, not a curated record. NCBI's taxonomy places the organism in Eukaryota, Metazoa, Chordata, Actinopteri, Centrarchiformes, Centrarchidae.